Long non-coding RNA from Mya arenaria, 247 nucleotides. RefSeq lists it as uncharacterized. The transcript has 3 exons. The record is from RefSeq and is a predicted model, not a curated record. NCBI's taxonomy places the organism in Eukaryota, Metazoa, Mollusca, Bivalvia, Myida, Myidae.
GGUCGGGUAGUCCUACCAGACGAUGCAAUCGCAACCUUGGCCACUGGUUCAACAUAUGUCUACAGUUUACACAACUCAAACGCUCAACAGGCACAAUUUGGACUUGUAGCGUUUGAGGACACAACAGCAAUCACUAUAAACUACAAUGAGUAUACAGUCAGUACGGAGACCAUUGAUGGUGCACCUGCUAGCGGUCCGACCGAGACCGUUUCUUUAGACGAAUACCAGGUUUUAAUGAUGAAAGGAG